RNAcentral lists this ribosomal RNA (405 nucleotides) under uncultured bacterium. RNAcentral's name for it is "partial 16S ribosomal RNA". It matches the Rfam family "Bacterial small subunit ribosomal RNA", at positions 28 to 526 of the family's 1533-position model. The record is from RNAcentral.
GACGAACGCUGGCGGCGUGCUUAACACAUGCAAGUCGAGCGGAGCGGCGAACGGGUGAGUAACGCGUGAGUAACUGCCCCCCUCUCUGGGAUAACAGUUGGAAACGGCUGCUAAUACCGGAUAGUGGGGGAUGACUCGCGUCCUAUCAGCUUGUUGGUGGGGUAGUGGCCUACCAAGGCGACGACGGGUAGCCGGCCUGAGUGGGCGACCGGCCACAUGAAGUUGAGAUGCGGCCCAAACUCCUACGGGAGGCAGCAGUGGGGAAUAUUGCACAAUAGGGGAAACCCAGAUGCAGCAACGCCGCGGGCAGGAUAACGGCCUUCGGGUUGUAACCCGCUUUCAGCCAUGGCGCGGUGGUGGCAGUAGAAGCACCGGCUAACUACGUGCCGGCGGCCGCGGUAAUAC